AGGCCUAUAGCUCAAUCAGGUUAGAGCAUCGCUCUCAUAAAGCGAGGGUUCUCGGUUCGAGUCCGAGUAGGCCUACCA
Molecule: transfer RNA, 78 nt
Filed under: Paracoccaceae bacterium
Lineage: Bacteria; Pseudomonadati; Pseudomonadota; Alphaproteobacteria; Rhodobacterales; Paracoccaceae
Description: Rhodobacteraceae bacterium (marine metagenome) tRNA-Met
Rfam family: tRNA
About the family: Transfer RNA (tRNA) molecules are approximately 80 nucleotides in length.
Source: RNAcentral